RNAcentral lists this ribosomal RNA (1372 nucleotides) under uncultured bacterium. RNAcentral's name for it is "bacterial SSU rRNA". It matches the Rfam family "Bacterial small subunit ribosomal RNA", at positions 28 to 1381 of the family's 1533-position model. The record is from RNAcentral.
GAUGAACGCUGGCGGCGUGCCUAAUACAUGCAAGUCGAGCGAACGGACGAGAAGCUUGCUUCUCUGAUGUUAGCGGCGGACGGGUGAGUAACACGUGGAUAACCUACCUAUAAGACUGGGAUAACUUCGGGAAACCGGAGCUAAUACCGGAUAAUAUUUUGAACCGCAUGGUUCAAAAGUAAAAGACGGUCUUGCUGUCACUUAUAGAUGGAUCCGCGCUGCAUUAGCUAGUUGGUAAGGUAACGGCUUACCAAGGCAACGAUGCAUAGCCGACCUGAGAGGGUGAUCGGCCACACUGGAACUGAGACACGGUCCAGACUCCUACGGGAGGCAGCAGUAGGGAAUCUUCCGCAAUGGGCGAAAGCCUGACGGAGCAACGCCGCGUGAGUGAUGAAGGUCUUCGGAUCGUAAAACUCUGUUAUUAGGGAAGAAUAUAUGUGUAAGUAACUGUGCACAUCUUGACGGUACCUAAUCAGAAAGCCACGGCUAACUACGUGCCAGCAGCCGCGGUAAUACGUAGGUGGCAAGCGUUAUCCGGAAUUAUUGGGCGUAAAGCGCGCGUAGGCGGUUUUUUAAGUCUGAUGUGAAAGCCCACGGCUCAACCGUGGAGGGUCAUUGGAAACUGGAAAACUUGAGUGCAGAAGAGGAAAGUGGAAUCCCAUGUGUAGCGGUGAAAUGCGCAGAGAUAUGGAGGAACACCAGUGGCGAAGGCGACUUUCUGGUCUGUAACUGACGCUGAUGUGCGAAAGCGUGGGGAUCAAACAGGAUUAGAUACCCUGGUAGUCCACGCCGUAAACGAUGAGUGCUAAGUGUUAGGGGGUUUCCGCCCCUUAGUGCUGCAGCUAACGCAUUAAGCACUCCGCCUGGGGAGUACGACCGCAAGGUUGAAACUCAAAGGAAUUGACGGGGACCCGCACAAGCGGUGGAGCAUGUGGUUUAAUUCGAAGCAACGCGAAGAACCUUACCAAAUCUUGACAUCCUUUGACAACUCUAGAGAUAGAGCCUUCCCCUUCGGGGGACAAAGUGACAGGUGGUGCAUGGUUGUCGUCAGCUCGUGUCGUGAGAUGUUGGGUUAAGUCCCGCAACGAGCGCAACCCUUAAGCUUAGUUGCCAUCAUUAAGUUGGGCACUCUAAGUUGACUGCCGGUGACAAACCGGAGGAAGGUGGGGAUGACGUCAAAUCAUCAUGCCCCUUAUGAUUUGGGCUACACACGUGCUACAAUGGACAAUACAAAGGGCAGCGAAACCGCGAGGUCAAGCAAAUCCCAUAAAGUUGUUCUCAGUUCGGAUUGUAGUCUGCAACUCGACUACAUGAAGCUGGAAUCGCUAGUAAUCGUAGAUCAGCAUGCUACGGUGAAUACGUUCCCGGGUCU